CGAACGGGUGAGUAAUACAUCGGAACGUGUCCGCUCGUGGGGGACAAUCAGCCGAAAGGUUGGCUAAUACCGCAUGAGUUCUACGGAAGAAAGAGGGGGACCCGCAAGGGCCUCUCGCGAGCGGAGCGGCCGAUGACUGAUUAGCCGGUUGGUGAGGUAACGGCUCACCAAAGCAACGAUCAGUAGCUGGUCUGAGAGGACGACCAGCCACACUGGGACUGAGACACGGCCCAGACUCCUACGGGAGGCAGCAG
Molecule: ribosomal RNA, 254 nt
Filed under: uncultured bacterium
Lineage: Bacteria
Description: partial 16S ribosomal RNA
Rfam family: Bacterial small subunit ribosomal RNA
Source: RNAcentral